CCCCCUCCCUCACUGGUUCCGUUGUCGUUAUGCGCAAGAAUAGCACGGCAUGACACAACACCAUACCAUACUGUACCGUUGGCCUACUGGCACAGGUGUCAGUUCUGGUACUGCGGACCUUGGGUCUGAUACUUUUGGGGACGCACAGAAUCAAAACCCAAGGAACUUGGGAUACAUGUUCAAACCGAAGCUGGCCUAAAAGCUUAAGCAUGAGUUUUGGGCCCAACUAGCAAAUCAAACCUUUUUCGUUACUAUUUCAUGUAGGAUUGUCUUUUUAUACAUGGAUUCUUAAUAAUCUCACCAUGAUAUCUGAAUUCUUCCCACAUCCUCAUCAACACUCCCUUGCAUCUGAUCCACUACUCUUAAGCCAGUUCCAUUUGAGUGCUUCAUGUGCUCCAUGUAGUGCUCCAACUGCGAAAUCAUGCUUUUAAGCUAUGUUACACCAAAUUCAAGUUCACAUCAUGUGUCUUCUCCGCUGCACCAUCAUAUGCUCUCGCAUGCUUUUCACCACACUCGGGUUCACUCAUUACACUAUAAGCAUGACUAUUGAAGAACGGCGUCUGAACUUGUGCUUAAACUCAGCACUACUACAUCGAGUCCACUUCAUCAACUUGGCGCACUAUGGCUACAAAACUCCACUCUACUAGCCCACAUGUUGCCAUUAUAAGAUCCGCUAGUACUGGUACUCAUCAUCGCUUUAAGAGUUAUGUACGGGAUCGUUACCCUUAUCUUUGAUACCAUUGUUGAAUCAUAGUAUCAAGAGACCCCUCUUUUAUCUCACACCCUCUCUCGGGCACGGUAGAAGAUAACACUCAUCAAGAGAUAACAACUCUUGGAUUACAUAAGGGAUUCAAUACGGAGGACGAGAGUCCAACAUAAGGAGCCUUGAUAUACAUGUUAAAACCCAAUUUGAUCCAAAAACUUAAUCCAUGAGGUUUUAUGCUCGAGUAUAUAUAAUAUUUCUUGAUCACAUUAUUUGCUUUACGUGGGCCUAAACCUCCCAUAUGACCUUUAACAAUCUGCUCCCUUCAUGAUUAGCCUACCACAUUGACAUCAGCUUUCACUCCAGUCUGAUCCACAGUACUCUCCAGA
RNAcentral lists this long non-coding RNA (1092 nucleotides) under Phoenix dactylifera (date palm). RNAcentral describes it as "long non-coding RNA (PDAC_LNC006810)". Lineage: Eukaryota; Viridiplantae; Streptophyta; Magnoliopsida; Arecales; Arecaceae. The record is from RNAcentral.